UCGAUCACGUCGUUAUUUUUGUAUUGUGUCCGUGUGUGUAGUUUGUAUAAUAUAAUAUUGUUAGCUAUUUAAAUAUGCCCAAAGUAGCUCGCACAAAAAGGUCAAAAGUUAGUAUUUAUUUGGAAGAAUUUCCGAAUGAAACUUUUAGGAUUGAUGGACAAGUUUUAUACUGUCAGUCUUGUGAUAAAUCAGUAUCUAUUGACCAACGUGGUCAAGUUAUUCAGCACAUCAAUACCAGUAAACAUAGAGGCAAUAAAGACAGAAAGCUUAUAUUUCAACAAAAUUUUAUUUCUACAUCAUCCGCAUCUACCAAUAGUAAGUCAGUUUUUAAUGAUGAUUUGUGUCGUGCACUAAUACGUUCAGACAUUCCUCUUUUUAAAUUGAAAAAUGUUGCAUUUAAAAAUUUUAUGGAAAAAUAUACUGGUCAUAAAAUUCCCGACGAGAGUACACUUAGAAAAAAUUAUGUUAGUGGGGUGUAUGAAGAAACUAUUUCGAAAAUUCAAAAUGUCAUUGGAGAUGGCCCUAUUUGGGUUGGAGUAGAUAAAACAACAGAUGCCGACGGUCGAUGUAUCGCAAAUGUUAUUGUAGGAAAAUUGAGCACUGAACCAUCUAAACCAUUUUUAUUGUGCUGUGAAGAAUUAGAUAAAUGCAACCACAAAACUAUAGGUACGUCAAUUAUUUAAUAAUGCAAUGGGAGUUUUGUGGCCGAAUGGUAUAAUACACAAUAAUGUACUUUUACUUUUAACGGACGCCGCGCCGUAUAUGUGUAAGGCGGGAAAAGUGUUGGACACAUUUUAUCCAAGAAUAAUACAUUUAACUUGUCUAGUACAUGGUUUUCAUCGUAUAGCUGAAACAAUAUGUAUUUGUCACGUGCAAUACCGAGCAUUCCCAACAGCUCUGAUAAACAUCAUAAUGCGCAAUCAUUUCGCAUUAAGUAGCGGGUGUGUGACGGAUUGGUGAUGAUAAUAUUUUCACCUUGGUCUAAGGCAUAGUGUAUAGAGGAAUUUGAUUGUAUUGUAUUUCACACGGAAGGCGUACUUAACGUCCGAACACCCUAUCACGGGUAAUGCGACUGUCGCUAUUCCGACCACGUUCCUCCGCUAAUUUUCCAAUGACUUAUCCGUCCGCUUUCGUUUGGCGAUGAAGCGUAUGACCAAUGGGGCGAGAGUAACAAAUGAUAUUUUUGUCGAAACUGUAUCGUUACUACAAUAGACAAAGUCAACGUGAAAUAUUCUCAACACUAAAUCAGCUGGCAACAGAAAAGGGAUAUGUUUAAAAAAGCUUAGACAAUAAAAAUUAUUCCUAUGACAUCGAAGCGGUCGCAUCACCCUCACAUAAACCUGUUUUUAAAUAAUAACAUCUUCCAGAUAAAUUCAUAACAAUACUUGAAAAUGCGGUAGUACUUUUUUCCACGAAUAAAGGUCAACUAAGCGUAAGAGAUUUACUUCAAAAUAAUUUGAAUUCUCCUUAAUUAAUAAAACCGAGAACUAUAAUUCGAUAUCUAUUAAAUAACUUUUCAAGUUUGGAUGAAUUCAAUUUCCCACGGAUUUUCUAUUUUAUUAAUAAUUUCACAACUUUACUUCCUUUAGAUUCGUAUAACAUUUUGAUCACGGCGUGAUAGUAUGUGUCAUUGUUCAAAUAUGUCUAGCAUGAAAAAUAUAUUCCUCAUACACAUUCAUACUCAAUUAUUUCAGCGCCAUGGAAAGAAAUUAAGACAAAUUAAUCCAGGCCUUUCUCACUUGAGGUAUUAAACUUGCCACUGACUUCCAGUGUCGUCUUUUAAAAUCCUAUGGGUCUUUCUUGAAAACGUUACACCAUGAUCGAGACGUAGUGAACUUGGUCAGGCCCCGGGCCGUUUUUCAAUCCCGAACUCCUGGGCUACAGCUCCAGCUGCCACCACCCUCUCGUCGGGCCUCACUAUACUUGAAGAUAUACGAUCUUAUAUUAUGUUCUUUAUAAUAUAAUAUAUCUGUUUCUUCCGUUUCAAGUUUUU
Molecule: unclassified non-coding RNA, 1993 nt
Filed under: Sipha flava (yellow sugarcane aphid)
Lineage: Eukaryota; Metazoa; Arthropoda; Insecta; Hemiptera; Aphididae
Description: uncharacterized LOC112680790, transcript variant X1
Source: RNAcentral